Molecule: ribosomal RNA, 1330 nt
Filed under: Salmonella enterica subsp. enterica serovar Infantis
Lineage: Bacteria; Pseudomonadati; Pseudomonadota; Gammaproteobacteria; Enterobacterales; Enterobacteriaceae
Description: partial 23S ribosomal RNA
Rfam family: Bacterial large subunit ribosomal RNA
Source: RNAcentral
GGUAACAUCAAAUCGUACCCCAAACCGACACAGGUGGUCAGGUAGAGAAUACCAAGGCGCUUGAGAGAACUCGGGUGAAGGAACUAGGCAAAAUGGUGCCGUAACUUCGGGAGAAGGCACGCUGACAUGUAGGUGAAGUGAUUUACUCAUGGAGCUGAAGUCAGUCGAAGAUACCAGCUGGCUGCAACUGUUUAUUAAAAACACAGCACUGUGCAAACACGAAAGUGGACGUAUACGGUGUGACGCCUGCCCGGUGCCGGAAGGUUAAUUGAUGGGGUCAGCGCAAGCGAAGCUCCUGAUCGAAGCCCCGGUAAACGGCGGCCGUAACUAUAACGGUCCUAAGGUAGCGAAAUUCCUUGUCGGGUAAGUUCCGACCUGCACGAAUGGCGUAAUGAUGGCCAGGCUGUCUCCACCCGAGACUCAGUGAAAUUGAACUCGCUGUGAAGAUGCAGUGUACCCGCGGCAAGACGGAAAGACCCCGUGAACCUUUACUAUAGCUUGACACUGAACAUUGAGCCUUGAUGUGUAGGAUAGGUGGGAGGCUUUGAAGUGUGGACGCCAGUCUGCAUGGAGCCGACCUUGAAAUACCACCCUUUAAUGUUUGAUGUUCUAACGUGGACCCGUAAUCCGGGUUGCGGACAGUGUCUGGUGGGUAGUUUGACUGGGGCGGUCUCCUCCUAAAGAGUAACGGAGGAGCACGAAGGUUGGCUAAUCCUGGUCGGACAUCAGGAGGUUAGUGCAAUGGCAUAAGCCAGCUUGACUGCGAGCGUGACGGCGCGAGCAGGUGCGAAAGCAGGUCAUAGUGAUCCGGUGGUUCUGAAUGGAAGGGCCAUCGCUCAACGGAUAAAAGGUACUCCGGGGAUAACAGGCUGAUACCGCCCAAGAGUUCAUAUCGACGGCGGUGUUUGGCACCUCGAUGUCGGCUCAUCACAUCCUGGGGCUGAAGUAGGUCCCAAGGGUAUGGCUGUUCGCCAUUUAAAGUGGUACGCGAGCUGGGUUUAGAACGUCGUGAGACAGUUCGGUCCCUAUCUGCCGUGGGCGCUGGAGAACUGAGGGGGGCUGCUCCUAGUACGAGAGGACCGGAGUGGACGCAUCACUGGUGUUCGGGUUGUCAUGCCAAUGGCACUGCCCGGUAGCUAAAUGCGGAAGAGAUAAGUGCUGAAAGCAUCUAAGCACGAAACUUGCCCCGAGAUGAGUUCUCCCUGAGACUUAGAGUCUCCUGAAGGAACGUUGAAGACGACGACGUUGAUAGGCCGGGUGUGUAAGCGCAGCGAUGCGUUGAGCUAACCGGUACUAAUGAACCGUGAGGCUUAACCUUACAACGCCGAAG